Long non-coding RNA from Jaculus jaculus (lesser Egyptian jerboa), 445 nucleotides. RefSeq lists it as uncharacterized. The transcript has 6 exons. The record is from RefSeq and is a predicted model, not a curated record. NCBI's taxonomy places the organism in Eukaryota, Metazoa, Chordata, Mammalia, Rodentia, Dipodidae.
CAAUGAUCUGGUGUCAGCUUCCUUCACUGGCCUGCCAAGAACAGACUGAGGGGGGACAAAGCAGCCGAUUGAUGGUCACAACUGAAGCCUGUUGGAGUGUCACACACUGUCAUUGUAGGAGGAGUUAGGCUACAACGAAAAACACUGGAGCUGCUGGAGACAGUAGUUUUGUGACAGACCACUUGGUGACAAGAGGAAAACUGCAGUCACGGAGAAAAGACAAGAGACUUGCAAUUGAAUCGAGUGGUGUGUGUACCGGUAGGAGAGGCGCUGCUGGUGAGGGCAGUGGAGGAAGACAUGCCGCCCCAUUUUAUAGAUAGAGCCUGCAAUCUUGGGAAAGUAUGUGAAAGAAUGUCUACAACAUUGUAAAGGUCAAUGGAAAUGUAAGGAUGAAAGGAGAAGACAGAAAAUGGAGAAAAGUGUCAGCAGCCCUCCCCAGAUGGUG